UACGUAGGGACCAAGCGUUGUUCGGAUUUACUGGGCGUAAGGGGCGCGUAGGCGGCAAUUCAAGUCAGUUGUGAAAUCUCCGAGCUUAACUCGGAACGGUCAACUGAUACUGUCUUGCUAGAGUACAGAAGGGGCAAUCGGAAUUCUUGGUGUAGCGGUGAAAUGCGUAGAUAUCAAGAGGAACACCUGAGGUGAAGACGGGUUGCUGGGCUGAUACUGACGCUGAGGCGCGAAAGCUAGGGUAGCAAACGGG
RNAcentral lists this ribosomal RNA (253 nucleotides) under uncultured bacterium. RNAcentral describes it as "partial 16S ribosomal RNA". It matches the Rfam family "Bacterial small subunit ribosomal RNA", at positions 524 to 776 of the family's 1533-position model. The record is from RNAcentral.